Molecule: ribosomal RNA, 616 nt
Filed under: Exophiala alcalophila
Lineage: Eukaryota; Fungi; Ascomycota; Eurotiomycetes; Chaetothyriales; Herpotrichiellaceae
Description: eukaryotic LSU rRNA
Rfam family: Eukaryotic large subunit ribosomal RNA
Source: RNAcentral
GCAUAUCAAUAAGCGGAGGAAAAGAAACCAACAGGGAUUGCCUCAGUAACGGCGAGUGAAGCGGCAACAGCUCAAAUUUGAAAUCUGGCCUCUUGGGGUCCGAGUUGUAAUUUGUAGAGGAUGUUUCGGGUACCGCUCCGGUUUAAAUUUCUUGGAACAGAAUGUCAAAGAGGGUGAGAAUCCCGUCUUGGACCGGCGGUAGGGCCUAUGUGAAACUCCUUCGACGAGUCGAGUUGUUUGGGAAUGCAGCUCAAAAUGGGUGGUAAAUUUCAUCUAAAGCUAAAUAUUGGCCAGAGACCGAUAGCGCACAAGUAGAGUGAUCGAAAGAUGAAAAGCACUUUGAAAAGAGAGUUAAACAGUAUGUGAAAUUGUUGAAAGGGAAGCGCUGGCAACCAGACUUGCGCGCGGCGGUUCCCCCUCCCUUUUGGUUGGGUUAUUCCGCCGUGUCCAGGCCAACAUCGGUUCUGGGGGUCGGUUAAAGGCCUUGGGAAUGUAUCUACCCUCCGGGCGUAGACUUAUAGCCCAGGGCGUCAUGCGACCACCCGGGACCGAGGAACGCGCUUCGGCUCGGAUGUUGGCGUAAUGGUUGUCAGCGACCCGUCUUGAAACACGGACC